GAUGAACGCUGGCGGCGUGCCUAAUACAUGCAAGUCGAGCGAACGGACGAGAAGCUUGCUUCUCUGAUGUUAGCGGCGGACGGGUGAGUAACACGUGGAUAACCUACCUAUAAGACUGGGAUAACUUCGGGAAACCGGAGCUAAUACCGGAUAAUAUUUUGAACCGCAUGGUUCAAAAGUGAAAGACGGUCUUGCUGUCACUUAUAGAUGGAUCCGCGCUGCAUUAGCUAGUUGGUAAGGUAACGGCUUACCAAGGCAACGAUGCAUAGCCGACCUGAGAGGGUGAUCGGCCACACUGGAACUGAGACACGGUCCAGACUCCUACGGGAGGCAGCAGUAGGGAAUCUUCCGCAAUGGGCGAAAGCCUGACGGAGCAACGCCGCGUGAGUGAUGAAGGUCUUCGGAUCGUAAAACUCUGUUAUUAGGGAAGAACAUAUGUGUAAGUAACUGUGCACAUCUUGACGGUACCUAAUCAGAAAGCCACGGCUAACUACGUGCCAGCAGCCGCGGUAAUACGUAGGUGGCAAGCGUUAUCCGGAAUUAUUGGGCGUAAAGCGCGCGUAGGCGGUUUUUUAGUCUGAUGUGAAAGCCCACGGCUCAACCGUGGAGGGUCAUUGGAAACUGGAAAACUUGAGUGCAGAAGAGGAAAGUGGAAUUCCAUGUGUAGCGGUGAAAUGCGCAGAGAUAUGGAGGAACACCAGUGGCGAAGGCGACUUUCUGGUCUGUAACUGACGCUGAUGUGCGAAAGCGUGGGGAUCAAACAGGAUUAGAUACCCUGGUAGUCCACGCCGUAAACGAUGAGUGCUAAGUGUUAGGGGGUUUCCGCCCCUUAGUGCUGCAGCUAACGCAUUAAGCACUCCGCCUGGGGAGUACGACCGCAAGGUUGAAACUCAAAGAGAUUGACGGGGACCCGCACAAGCGGUGGAGCAUGUGGUUUAAUUCGAAGCAACGCGAAGAACCUUACCAAAUCUUGACAUCCUUUGACAACUCUAGAGAUAGAGCUUUCCCCUUCGGGGGACAAAGUGACAGGUGGUGCAUGGUUGUCGUCAGCUCGUGUCGUGAGAUGUUGGGUUAAGUCCCGCAACGAGCGCAACCCUUAAGCUUAGUUGCCAUCAUUAAGUUGGGCACUCUAAGUUGACUGCCGGUGACAAACCGGAGGAAGGUGGGGAUGACGUCAAAUCAUCAUGCCCCUUAUGAUUUGGGCUACACACGUGCUACAAUGGACAAUACAAAGGGCAGCGAAACCGCGAGGUCAAGCAAAUCCCAUAAAGUUGUUCUCAGUUCGGAUUGUAGCCUGCAACUCGACUACAUGAAGCUGGAAUCGCUAGUAAUCGUAGAUCAGCAUGCUACGGUGAAUACGUUCCCGGGUCU
This 1371-nucleotide ribosomal RNA is filed under the name uncultured bacterium. Its description in RNAcentral is "bacterial SSU rRNA". It matches the Rfam family "Bacterial small subunit ribosomal RNA", at positions 28 to 1381 of the family's 1533-position model. The record is from RNAcentral.